GACGAGCGGCGGACGGGUGAGUAAUGUCUGGGAAACUGCCUGAUGGAGGGGGAUAACUACUGGAAACGGUAGCUAAUACCGCAUAACGUCGCAAGACCAAAGAGGGGGACCUUCGGGCCUCUUGCCAUCAGAUGUGCCCAGAUGGGAUUAGCUAGUAGGUGGGGUAAUGGCUCACCUAGGCGACGAUCCCUAGCUGGUCUGAGAGGAUGACCAGCCACACUGGAACUGAGACACGGUCCAGACUCCUACGGGAGGCAGCAGUGGGGAAUAUUGCACAAUGGGCGCAAGCCUGAUGCAGCCAUGCCGCGUGUAUGAAGAACGCCUUCGGGUUGUAAAGUACUUUCAGCGAGGAGGAAGGCAUUGUGGUUAAUAACCACAGUGAUUGACGUUACUCGCAGAAGAAGCACCGGCUAACUCCGUGCCAGCAGCCGCGGUAAUACGGAGGGUGCAAGCGUUAAUCGGAAUUACUGGGCGUAAAGCGCACGCAGGCGGUCUGUCAAGUCGGAUGUGAAAUCCCC
This 518-nucleotide ribosomal RNA is filed under the name uncultured bacterium. Its description in RNAcentral is "bacterial SSU rRNA". It matches the Rfam family "Bacterial small subunit ribosomal RNA", at positions 90 to 604 of the family's 1533-position model. The record is from RNAcentral.